GGGAUGGAGGAGAGGCUUCGCCUCACAAACUCCGGGGCGGCCGAUCCCGGUGCGCCAGCUGGACUCUCCGAAGCAGCAAGCUGGCCUGGCAGGACAUCUCAGCAGGGGCUACAUCUCAGCCGGGCUACAGUGCAGUGAAAACUCAGAGUAGUGCUGAAGAGACAGCAGGGGCAGGACAGCGGUGACCCAGCUCCAGCAGGGCAGGGAGAGCCGGGCCCAGGGUCCCGGGCACCCGAGCGGGUGCGCACAGGUCCCUCUGUCUGUGAGGGCAGCAGCUCGGACCGCCAUCCUCCUGCAUAGCCGAGAGACAGAGAGCGAGCCUGCAGCUGCCCCAGCCCUGACUUUUAUCAGCCCUAUCCUCACCGUAUCUCUGCCCCAUCGGAGAGAAUCUCCCAGCUGGAGUUGCAAUGCUUGGAUAUCCUGGACAAGAGUGAGAUUGCCAAGUCUAACCUCCUCAGUCAUCCCUCUGGGCUUCUUCAUCUGAAAUUGCUAAUAUCCACAAGACUGCUCCCUUAAUAUCUGAAACAUCCCUUGGGUAAGGUGUUGUGUUUGUAGGCUGGGAAAUAUCUUGUGGUCCUGGGCUUGUGUCCUGCAUCCCCCAUUCCCUGCCAUAGUGAUGCCCAGACAGCAUUAUGGCAAUCCAGACCAGGACACAAGGCAGUUCACUAGGAUAGAAAACACUUUGUGUCUGGUUUAGGUUAGGUCCAACACCUAGGAAGAGUUUGAGGCUGUUGCUGGGACACACCUGGUGUUUGACAGUGCAGCUUUGGCUGGUUCCUGGCAGGGAGGAGCUCACAUCCCCAGACUGAGUUAUGUUGCUCCUACCUCGUGCUGCAGCCAAGAUCCCAUGGGAGAGACCAUCCAGCCCUGACAUGCCUGGAGUGACUUGGGAAGCUGCCCCCUGCUGCCAGAUUUCUUCUGGAAAAGGGUUUUGUGCCAGGUGGGAACAUGUGGGAAACAUCCUCUGGGAUGCACUGACCUCAGAGACAGGAGGAAGUGACAGUGCACAGGAGACUUGGGUUUCUGCCAAUCCUUUUUGUGCCAUGUCUCCCUGAUUUCUGGUUGUGGGAUUAAUCAAAACUUACAAAUAGGAUAAAACCAAGGUGAGGAAAUACAAUGCUGGCUUGUACUGUUCCAUCUUGGUCUGGGCACACACCCUGACUGAGGUCUGGGAUAAGUGUUUCCAUCCAAGUCCAAAGCAUAUGUGCAUGUAAGUCACCAUUAUCUUUAUUCCUCUUAGGGUUCCUUCCAAACUGGCACUAUACCAUUUCUUGGCAAAAGCAUAGUCUAGACAAGAUGGCCUAGCACCCUGUCCAGCUGGAUCUUAAAAAUGUCAUGUGUUGAGGAGUCCCCCACAUCUCUGGGGAGUUUAUCCCCAUGACUGACUGUUCUCUGUGUAAAAAAAAUUUCCUCUUGUGUCCAGUCUCACCACAAGUAACUCAUACCUGUUACCUCCCCUCUUUUCCAUGUGACUCUUUGUAAAAAGGGAGUCUCCAUCUUCUUUGUAGCUACCCUUUAAAUUCUGGGACAUGGCAAUAAAGUCUCCCCUAAGCCUUCUUUUCCCAAGGGUGUACAAACCCAGUUCUCUCAGCCCCUUUUCUGUUAUGGCUGGUUCCCAAUCCUCUGAUAACCUUUCUGACCCUUCUCUGGACCUUCUCCAGCCUGUCCAUAAAAUUUCUGUGUAGUGGGGACCAAAACUGAACAUUGUAUUCCAGGUGUGGCUUGACAAGUGGGAUAAUGACAUAUUUAUCUUUGUUGGUGAUGCCCUUGUUGAUGCAAUCCAGAAUCCUGCUGGCUUUCUUUUUAUAUUAUGUUGAAAUAUUGUUGGAAUGCUGAGUUGCAGAUUUUGUUCAUUAAACAAGGGUAAUGAAAAUGAUUAAAAAUGAAUGUCUUUCUAA
Haemorhous mexicanus (house finch) is the source of this 1898-nucleotide long non-coding RNA. RefSeq lists it as uncharacterized. The transcript is spliced from 3 exons. NCBI's taxonomy places the organism in Eukaryota, Metazoa, Chordata, Aves, Passeriformes, Fringillidae. The record is from RefSeq and is a predicted model, not a curated record.